Molecule: ribosomal RNA, 253 nt
Filed under: uncultured bacterium
Lineage: Bacteria
Description: partial 16S ribosomal RNA
Rfam family: Bacterial small subunit ribosomal RNA
Source: RNAcentral
CACGUACUGUGCGAACGUUAUUCGGAAUCACUGGGCUUAAAGGGUGCGUAGGCGGCGAAUCAAGUCAGGUGUGAAAGGUCUGAGCUCAACUGAGACAUUGCGCUUGAAACUGAUUUGCUUGAGUAUUUCAGAGGUGCGGGGAACUGCCAGUGGAGCGGUGAAAUGUGUUGAUAUUGGCAGGAACACCGGAGGCGAAGGCGCCGCACUGGGGAAUGACUGACGCUGAGGCACGAAAGCCAGGGGAGCGAACGGG